RNAcentral lists this ribosomal RNA (309 nucleotides) under uncultured bacterium. Its description in RNAcentral is "partial 16S ribosomal RNA". It matches the Rfam family "Bacterial small subunit ribosomal RNA", at positions 524 to 835 of the family's 1533-position model. The record is from RNAcentral.
UACGUAGGGUGCGAGCGUUAAUCGGAAUUACUGGGCGUAAAGCGUGCGCAGGCGGUUUGUUAAGACAGAUGUGAAAUCCCCGGGCUUAACCUGGGAACUGCAUUUGUGACUGCAUGGCUAGAGUACGGUAGAGGGGGAUGGAAUUCCGCGUGUAGCAGUGAAAUGCGUAGAUAUGCGGAGGAACACCGAUGGCGAAGGCAAUCCCCUGGACCUGUACUGACGCUCAUGCACGAAAGCGUGGGGAGCAAACGAGGAUUAGAAACCCUUGUAGAUCCCAUGACCCAAGUCACUCGCCAUGACCGUUAAUCA